This 556-nucleotide ribosomal RNA is filed under the name uncultured eukaryote. RNAcentral's name for it is "SSU rRNA". It matches the Rfam family "Eukaryotic small subunit ribosomal RNA", at positions 4 to 564 of the family's 1831-position model. The record is from RNAcentral.
CUGGUUGAUCCUGCCAGUAGUCAUAUGCUUGUCUCAAAGAUUAAGCCAUGCAUGUCUAAGUAUAAGCAAUUAUACCGUGAAACUGCGAAUGGCUCAUUAAAUCAGUUAUCGUUUAUUUGAUAGUACCUUACUACUUGGAUAACCGUGGUAAUUCUAGAGCUAAUACAUGCUAAAAACCCCAACUUCGGGAGGGGUGUAUUUAUUAGAUAAAAAACCAAUGCCCUUCGGGGCUCCUUGGUGAUUCAUGAUAACUUCUCAGAUCGCAUGGCUUUACGCCGGCGACGGUUCAUUCAAAUUUCUGCCCUAUCAACUUUCGAUGGUAAGGUAGUGGCUUACCAUGGUUUCAACGGGUAACGGGGAAUUAGGGUUCGAUUCCGGAGAGGGAGCCUGAGAAACGGCUACCACAUCCAAGGAAGGCAGCAGGCGCGCAAAUUACCCAAUUCCGAUACGGAGAGGUAGUGACAAUAAAUACUGAUACAGGGCUCUUUUGGGUCUUGUAAUUGGAAUGAGUACAAUUUAAACCUCUUAACGAGGAACAAUUGGAGGGCAAGUCUGG